GCACUGGUGGUUCAGUGGUGGAGCUCUCCGCUUCUGUGCAGGAGACCUGGGUUCAAUUCCUGACCAGUGCA
RNAcentral lists this transfer RNA (71 nucleotides) under Loxodonta africana (African savanna elephant). It matches the Rfam family "tRNA". Rfam says of the family: Transfer RNA (tRNA) molecules are approximately 80 nucleotides in length. Their secondary structure includes four short double-helical elements and three loops (D, anti-codon, and T loops). Further hydrogen bonds mediate the characteristic L-shaped molecular structure. tRNAs have two regions of fundamental functional importance: the anti-codon, which is responsible for specific mRNA codon recognition, and the 3' end, to which the tRNAs corresponding amino acid is attached (by aminoacyl-tRNA synthetases). tRNAs cope with the degeneracy of the genetic code in two manners: having more than one tRNA (with a specific anti-codon) for a particular amino acid; and 'wobble' base-pairing, i.e. permitting non-standard base-pairing at the 3rd anti-codon position. The record is from Rfam by way of RNAcentral. Lineage: Eukaryota; Metazoa; Chordata; Mammalia; Proboscidea; Elephantidae.